Molecule: ribosomal RNA, 497 nt
Filed under: uncultured Chryseobacterium sp.
Lineage: Bacteria; Pseudomonadati; Bacteroidota; Flavobacteriia; Flavobacteriales; Weeksellaceae
Description: partial 16S ribosomal RNA
Source: RNAcentral
CACGGAGUUAGCCGGUGCUUAUUCGUAUAGUACCUUCAGCUACCCUCACGAGGGUAGGUUUAUCCCUAUACAAAAGAAGUUUACAACCCAUAGGGCUGUCGUCCUUCACGCGGGAUGGCUGGAUCAGGCUCUCACCCAUUGUCCAAUAUUCCUCACUGCUGCCUCCCGUAGGAGUCUGGUCCGUGUCUCAGUACCAGUGUGGGGGAUCACCCUCUCAGGCCCCCUAAAGAUCGUAGACUUGGUGAGCCGUUACCUCACCAACUAUCUAAUCUUGCGCGUGCCCAUCUCUAUCCACCGGAGUUUUCAAUACCGAAUGAUGCCAUUCAGUAUAUUAUGGGUAUUAAUCUUCCUUUCGAAAGGCUAUCCCCCAGAUAAAGGCAGGUUGCACACGUGUUCCGCACCCGUACGCCGCUCUCAAGAUCCCGAAAGAUCUCUACCGCUCGGCUUGCAUGUGUUAGGCCUCCGCUAGCGUUCAUCCUGAGCCAGGAUCAAACUCU